CCAGUGCUAAUACAGAAUUCCCCUAUAAUCUUCUGAACAAUUGCCAUGUUCCCUUACUAUCUCUGGCUUGAGAGAUCAAAAUUACUGCUGCUUCUGUCACCACCACAUAGUCCUACACAUAGUGUUUCAUCAUAAUGGGCUCUGGGUCACCCUCAACCCCAUGUGGCAAAAGUCUCUUUCCAAACUACUAUGUUGUCUUAGGCUAGAAGAAUGUUUCAUUCUGAAUUGUUUGUUAGUUCUGUCAUUCCAGAAUUCAAGUUGAGGUGCUAUUUUAAAAAUAUUUGGAAGGCAAUGUAGAGAAAGCUCAGUUAAGCAAUUUCUCUUCUUUGCCACCUUGGCUCUGCCCCCAGAAGGUCUGUUUCAGAUAUUUACUGGAACUGAUAUAAAAGAACUGGAUUUUUCUGUGGCCUUUCACAUUGUCAUGAUGUACAGAAGUCUGAUUUCCAUUUCUUGCCAGAGGAAGCAAAGCCUUGCCAAAAGCCAGAACCUUUAUCCAAGAGAACAGAACAGUUGAUCUUAACACCUUUGAACAGAUGGAAGAAGCACCAAAUGGGAGAAGCAGGAAUAGAAAAGAAAAAUAUACCUCUUAUGUGCUAACCUUGGCCCAGAAAGGACAAUAAUGUAUAAAGUGGAAGUGUCAAGAGAAAAAUUAUCAUCUUUUCAAAAGUCAAUGUACCUUUAAUUUAAAAAGUACAACUGAGUGCCAUUUUCUAGACAGAUGAUUCCCAACUUCGUAUCUCUUGCUGUUCUUUGGAUAGCUUCUGUUAUUUCUUUUCCAUCUGUUAUUUUCAUUCAUUUCAGCUAGAUUUUCCAAAUUGGAGGAUCUUAUUUUGGGAACGGAGGAUUCUAGAAAUGUAACCCCAUUUACAGAGAAUAAAGUUUUACAUUAGUAAAGAAAAAAUG
This 903-nucleotide long non-coding RNA is filed under the name Monodelphis domestica (gray short-tailed opossum). Its description in RNAcentral is "lncRNA (ENSMODG00000032325.2)". Lineage: Eukaryota; Metazoa; Chordata; Mammalia; Didelphimorphia; Didelphidae. The record is from RNAcentral.